GGCUCUUUGAUAACAAAGAUAAAGAGUUUGACCUGCCCGGUGAUAAAUUAAACGGCCGCAGUAUCCUGACUGUGCGAAGGUAGCAUAAUAACUUGUCUUAUAAUUAAAGAAUGGAAUGAAUGGUUUGACUAGGGUAUAACUGUCUCUUAUAUAUUUUCUAAAAGUUAAUUUUUAAGUUAAAAAGCUUAAAUUUAAUUAAAAGACGAGAAGACCCUAUUGAGCUUAAUAAAGAAUAUGGCUAGUUAUAAUUAUAAUAUAAAUAAAAAUUAGUGUUGAAAUUUUGGUUGGGGCGACUGAGGAAUAAAAAAAGCUUCCUUAAUAAAUUAAGAAAGAUAUUUUUAGAGCCAAAGAAAUUUUGAAUUGAGAACAAGUUACCAUAGGGAUAACAGCGUUAUUUUUUUUGAGAGUUCUAAUCGAAAAAAAAGUUUGCGACCUCGAUGUUGGAUUAGGAAUAAGAUAAAGGUUGCAGAAGCUUUAUAUAUUUAGUCUGUUCGACUAUUAAUCUCCU
Molecule: ribosomal RNA, 508 nt
Filed under: Diplommatina electa B MS-2011
Lineage: Eukaryota; Metazoa; Mollusca; Gastropoda; Architaenioglossa; Diplommatinidae
Description: partial 16S ribosomal RNA
Rfam family: Bacterial large subunit ribosomal RNA
Source: RNAcentral